RNAcentral lists this ribosomal RNA (846 nucleotides) under Pediococcus acidilactici. RNAcentral's name for it is "bacterial SSU rRNA". It matches the Rfam family "Bacterial small subunit ribosomal RNA", at positions 1 to 856 of the family's 1533-position model. Lineage: Bacteria; Bacillati; Bacillota; Bacilli; Lactobacillales; Lactobacillaceae. The record is from RNAcentral.
AUCCCGGGACCACGAACUUCCGUUAAUUGAUUAUGACGUGCUUGCACUGAAUGAGAUUUUAACACGAAGUGAGUGGCGGACGGGUGAGUAACACGUGGCUAACCUGCCCAGAAGCAGGGGAUAACACCUGGAAACAGAUGCUAAUACCGUAUAACAGAGAAAACCGCCUGGUUUUCUUUUAAAAGAUGGCUCUGCUAUCACUUCUGGAUGGACCCGCGGCGCAUUAGCUAGUUGGUGAGGUAACGGCUCACCAAGGCGAUGAUGCGUAGCCGACCUGAGAGGGUAAUCGGCCACAUUGGGACUGAGACACGGCCCAGACUCCUACGGGAGGCAGCAGUAGGGAAUCUUCCACAAUGGACGCAAGUCUGAUGGAGCAACGCCGCGUGAGUGAAGAAGGGUUUCGGCUCGUAAAGCUCUGUUGUUAAAGAAGAACGUGGGUGAGAGUAACUGUUUACCCAGUGACGGUAUUUAACCAGAAAGCCACGGCUAACUACGUGCCAGCAGCCGCGGUAAUACGUAGGUGGCAAGCGUUAUCCGGAUUUAUUGGGCGUAAAGCGAGCGCAGGCGGUCUUUUAAGUCUAAUGUGAAAGGCUUCGGCUCAACCGAAGAAGUGCAUUGGAAACUGGGAGACUUGAGUGCAGAAGAGGACAGUGGAACUCCAUGUGUAGCGGUGAAAUGCGUAGAUAUAUGGAAGAACACCAGUGGCGAAGGCGGCUCUCUGGUCUGUAACUGACGCUGAGGCUCGAAAGCAUGGGUAGCGAACAGGAUUAGAUACCCUGGUAGUCCAUGCCGUAACGAUGAUUACUAAGUGUUGGAGGGUUUCCGGGCUUCAGUGCUAUGGCAUUU